GACGAACGCUGGCGGCGUGCCUAAUACAUGCAAGUCGAGCGGACGGAUGGGAGCUUGCUCCCAGACCGUCAGCGGCGGACGGGUGAGUAACACGUGGGCAACCUGCCUGUAAGACUGGGAUAACUCCGGGAAACCGGGGCUAAUACCGGAUAACUCUUUCCCUCACAUGAGGGAAAGCUGAAAGAUGGCAUCUCGCUAUCACUUACAGAUGGGCCCGCGGCGCAUUAGCUAGUUGGUGAGGUAACGGCUCACCAAGGCGACGAUGCGUAGCCGACCUGAGAGGGUGAUCGGCCACACUGGGACUGAGACACGGCCCAGACUCCUACGGGAGGCAGCAGUAGGGAAUCUUCCGCGAUGGACGAAAGUCUGACGGAGCAACGCCGCGUGAGUGAUGAAGGUUUUCGGAUCGUAAAACUCUGUUGUCAGGGAAGAACAAGUACCGGAGUAACUGCCGGUACCUUGACGGUACCUGACCAGAAAGCCACGGCUAACGACG
Molecule: ribosomal RNA, 496 nt
Filed under: uncultured bacterium
Lineage: Bacteria
Description: partial 16S ribosomal RNA
Rfam family: Bacterial small subunit ribosomal RNA
Source: RNAcentral